This is a non-coding RNA of Ceratotherium simum simum (southern white rhinoceros), 131 nucleotides long. Lineage: Eukaryota; Metazoa; Chordata; Mammalia; Perissodactyla; Rhinocerotidae. The record is from RefSeq and is a predicted model, not a curated record.
AGACACUUUGUAUAAUUUCAAUCUUAUUAAAUUUAUUAAGACUUGUUUUGUGGCCUACCAUAUGGCCUAUGCUGGAAAAUGUUCUGUGAACACUUGAGAAGACUGUGUUUUCUGCUGUUAGGCACAGUAUU